Long non-coding RNA from Gadus morhua (Atlantic cod), 1820 nucleotides. RefSeq lists it as uncharacterized. NCBI's taxonomy places the organism in Eukaryota, Metazoa, Chordata, Actinopteri, Gadiformes, Gadidae. The record is from RefSeq and is a predicted model, not a curated record. The transcript is spliced from 5 exons.
UCAACUCACGAGCGUGGGGAUUUAUUGACAAAUUGUAUUUUUGGCCUCGACUUGAGGAAGAGAACGGUUCACAUGCGCGGUUUAACCCUUUAAAUGCGGAACUGGAGUUGAUAUGAAGUGGUUUUUGCACCUUAACCGAACCGAGCGUAAAUCGAUUCUAUACUUCUACUAAAACAAAACGCUGUUAUAUACCGUAGUUCCUGUAUUAAAUAGGCCUAAGUAAGCGUCCUUUAUGUUGAUACUGAUCUAAUGAUAUUAUAACUUUAAAUCGGUUUCCUCAUUAUCAUUUACACUUUAUUCAGUGUUACUUUGUGUUUACUUCCACUCAUUGUUUGACAAGGUUCAUUAGACAUAAUCGUAAUUAAAAUGCUGUAUAGAUUCACCCAUACAUUUAUGAGCAAAUUAUUUGAUUAAUGCUGUUGAUUCUAUUUCAGAGCGGAACGGUGUCCUGCAUUACUGUCAUGUCAGGUAAACCUUGAGUCUCUGGAAAUGAUGCUUCAUUGAUUUUUCAAUAUAUUUUAGUCAUUGUGAUUAUCAUCCGCCUGCCCUCAUUGUAUUGUCCUAGGGCAAAGUCCUACAUCCUUACAUCCACAUCCACAGUUUCACCGCGAUUGCUCCUACAAGCAACAGCAUGAGAGUGCAAUGUCCAGGCAGGAGACCACAACAUGGUUUCCCAAUUAUAGUUCUGUGUGUAUAAAGCAGAUGCGACAUGUAGAUAGUUGUCUAUUAGGUAAAGGCAUGAGAAUCUCCAGACACCUAAUUAUUUGUGAUGGCCUUUGGAUAAUUUUUUUUACAAUGUCUUCCGGUCAUUAUAUCCAAGGUGCUUUCAUAUUAGGCCUAAGCAAAGUACCAUGAACACUGAUACAUGUCAUAAAGACAUGCCAGAACAUUUACACUGUGAUUUGUAUAUCUUAACACCACCCCUAUUUAUCUACAUACCAUCUUUGAAAAAAGUUGUAGAGAGAAGAUGACCAUAUGUGUAUCAUAUAUUUAGUUGCAUGUAAUGUCAAAUAUAGAUUGCCCCGCAUCCCAAAUUCUAUGUCUCCUGGGUGGUAUUUCUGCUAAAACGGGUGUUCAUUUACCGUUAAUCUUGGGUGAAACGAUCCUAAUAGCAGAGCUUGUGGGGGGAGAUGGCACAGAGGCCAGAAGAUAUCAUACCGAAGAGAAACUAACUAAUGAAAAUGAAGGGGACUUCAAUAAGAGAAUUCCUAAAGUCUAGUCUACACGUUGUCAAUCUGAAAACUUUCCAUACACUUUUCCUGGGAGCUUCGGUGUCCGGACAGGAUGCGGUGAGUUUGCGCUCGCUGUUAGCCAUGAAGCGGAGACUUCCAGACCCCCUUGUCUCCGACAUGAUCGCCCCAGACUGGAACUCUUCGGCUCGAAGCUCCACUCUCAGAGAAUCCAUCAGGAUUGUUUAUGAGAUCUCCGAAAGGCGUAACAGUGAUGACCUCACUCUGCCUCAGCCCCAGUGAAUCAUGGGAUACAGGAAGCAAGGUCUCUUAACGCCAGACACCCAGGGUCGGACCAGACGAUCAGCGCCUCAAACGCUGGCCCAAGACAAACCCUGCCCAACGGCCAGACUCGUUCAAUCUAUAAUGCAUGUCUGAUACAUAAAGGUCCCUGCAGGCCAAGAACAGAGAUUCCUGCUCCAGGCUCCUUCCUCCACAUUAAAGACACAUGACGGUGCAUCUCAGCCUUGGCGUGGGCCUUGGGUUCCCCGCCCCAGGCGACCGGCGCCCCCACCACCCCGUGGAAGCUGGACGGGCAGUACGGCCCGAACGGCGGCUCCAGAUAGUGCCCCGCUCCUGGGUACACCACCU